ACUCCUACGGGAGGCAGCAGUGGGGAAUCUUAGACAAUGGGCGCAAGCCUGAUCUAGCCAUGCCGCGUGAGUGAUGAAGGCCUUAGGGUCGUAAAGCUCUUUCGCCAGGGAUGAUAAUGACAGUACCUGGUAAAGAAACCCCGGCUAACUCCGUGCCAGCAGCCGCGGUAAUACGGAGGGGGUUAGCGUUGUUCGGAAUUACUGGGGCGUAAAGCGCGCGUAGGCGGAUUAGUCAGUUAGAGGUGAAAUCCCAGGGCUCAACCCUGGAACUGCCUUUAAUACUGCUAGUCUUGAGUUCGAGAGAGGUGAGUGGAAUUCCGAGUGUAGAGGUGAAAUUCGUAGAUAUUCGGAGGAACACCAGUGGCGAAGGCGGCUCACUGGCUCGAUACUGACGCUGAGGUGCGAAAGUGUGGGGAGCAAACAGGAUUAGAUACCCUGGUAGGAUAGCG
RNAcentral lists this ribosomal RNA (449 nucleotides) under uncultured bacterium. Its description in RNAcentral is "bacterial SSU rRNA". It matches the Rfam family "Bacterial small subunit ribosomal RNA", at positions 335 to 799 of the family's 1533-position model. The record is from RNAcentral.